UUUGGAUUCUUCCCGCAACUCAUCAACAGUCUUCGUUCCAUUUGAUACUGCACUGGUAACUAAAAGAAGGGCAUGUUUAGUCUGUCCUACCUGGGAAGACAUUAACUUCUUCCAGGUUAAAGUUGACUAAUCGGUUUUAGUAGCUAGCUUACUUCAAAAUAUAUAUAUAUGAAACGAAAGUGCCAUCCACUACUUCAAUGUGCCAAACACUAUUCAACUGAAGAAUAACAAGUGUGUUCUGGCAGACUGAACUGUAAAGAAAGAAGCUCGGAAUCUUACACAUGGAGUGGCACCGGGGAUUCAGUGGCUCAGACAGACAAUAAGCGUAAUCACGCGCAUGUCACGGUUCCUAGCGGGUGAUUUCGACCCAGAAAAGAUGGACUCUGAAUGGGAUGAAAUUAUGGCCUCUCUGAAUACUAGUAUGGAAGAAGGGGGAAAAGAUGGAGUUGAUGAAGACCAGAACCCAGAGACGACAGAAGAAACGUUUACAAGUGUGGAAGAAUGGCUCUGUAACCUCGGUCUAUCCGAACAUGAACUGAAAUUCGUCAUCAACGGGUUUGACAACAUUAAAUUUCUUGUAAGU
Molecule: long non-coding RNA, 583 nt
Organism: Limulus polyphemus (Atlantic horseshoe crab)
Lineage: Eukaryota; Metazoa; Arthropoda; Merostomata; Xiphosura; Limulidae
Exons: 3
Source: RefSeq, a predicted model, not a curated record